GCCGGGUGCUGUGGCGCGUGCCUGUAAUCCAAGUUACCGGGAGGCUGAGACUGGUGGAUCGUUUGAGCUCAUGAUCUCUGAGCUACAGUGUACUAUGUCGAUCGGGUGUCCCAAUAAGUUCGUAUCGAUAUGGUGCUCCUGGGGGAGGCCGGGACCACCAGGUCGUCUAAGGAGGGGUGCACCGGCCCAGGUCGGAAACGGAGCAGGCCAAAGCCCCCGUGCCGCUCAGUAGUGGGAUCACGCCUGUGAAUAGAGGCUGUAGUGAAGCCUGAGUAAUACAGUGGGACCCAGUUCUUU
This 297-nucleotide signal recognition particle RNA is filed under the name Neogobius melanostomus (round goby). RNAcentral describes it as "Metazoan signal recognition particle RNA (ENSNMLG00000001197.1)". It matches the Rfam family "Metazoan signal recognition particle RNA". Rfam says of the family: The signal recognition particle (SRP) is a universally conserved ribonucleoprotein. The record is from Rfam by way of RNAcentral. Lineage: Eukaryota; Metazoa; Chordata; Actinopteri; Gobiiformes; Gobiidae.